This 84-nucleotide non-coding RNA is filed under the name unclassified sequences. RNAcentral describes it as "chrB RNA". It matches the Rfam family "chrB-a RNA". The record is from RNAcentral.
CUCAAGGGGCUUCCGCGAUUGCCCCGUGAGGCGCCAGCCUGAAAUCGCGUCCUAUCUCCCCUCUGCCCAGGGAUGGACGCCGUG